Molecule: ribosomal RNA, 416 nt
Filed under: uncultured bacterium
Lineage: Bacteria
Description: bacterial SSU rRNA
Rfam family: Bacterial small subunit ribosomal RNA
Source: RNAcentral
GGGCCCGCACAAGCGGUGGAGCAUGUGGUUUAAUUCGAUGCAACGCGAAGAACCUUACCUACCCUUGAAAUCCUCAGAAUUCUCUAGAGAUAGAGAAGUGCCUUCGGGAACUGAGUGACAGGUGCUGCAUGGCUGUCGUCAGCUCGUGUCGUGAGAUGUUGGGUUAAGUCCCGUAACGAGCGCAACCCCUACUCUUAAUUGCCAGCGGUUAGGCCGGGAACUUUAAGAGAACUGCCGGUGAUAAACCGGAGGAAGGUGGGGAUGAUGUCAAGUCAUCAUGGCCCUUACGGGUAGGGCUACACACGUGCUACAAUGGACAGUACAGAGGGCUGCAAACCCGCGAGGGGGAGCGAAUCCCUUAAAACCGGUCUCAGUUCGGAUCGGAGUCUGCAACUCGACUCCGUGAAGUUGGAGUC